ACUGGAAAAGAGCUUGUCAUAGAUAGAAACUGACCUGGAUUACUCCGGUCUGAACUCAGAUCACGUAGGACUUUAAUCGUUGAACAAACGAACCCUUAAUAGCGGCUGCACCAUUAGGAUGUCCUGAUCCAACAUCGAGGUCGUAAACCCCCUCGUCGAUAUGGGCUCUGAGAGGGGAUUGCGCUGUUAUCCCUAGGGUAACUCGGUUCGUUGAUCGGUUAUACCGGAUCAGAAAAGUCAGAAUUUCUGUUACUUGGAGUAGAGGCUCUGAGUAUUAGGGAUAAUAUCCCCGGUCCACAUGGGGGUUGUGUUUUACCCCGCGGUCGCCCCAACCAAAGACACUUCAGUAAAUAUCACUAAGUUUUUACUGUUAUCACAGCAUGUUAAACGUGACUUACUUUAGGUCUAAAGCUCCAUAGGGUCUUCUCGUCUUAUGUAAUUAUCCCCGCCUCUGCACGGGGAGGUCAAUUUCAUUGACUGGAGAUGGGAGACAGCUAAGCCCUCGUGAUGCCAUUCAUACAGGUCUUCACUUAAAAGACAAGUGAUUACGCUACCUUCGCACGGUUAAAAUACCGCGGCCGUUAAACUUAUAGUCACAGGGCAGGCGGGACCUCUUAUAUUUUUGGAGCAAGAGGCGAUGUUUUUGGUAAACAGGCGAGGCUUGUGUUUGCCGAGUUCCUUCCUUCUCUUUUAGUCUUUCCUUUAGGCACACCUGUGUGGGGUUAACGAUAUAAAAUAGGUGUUUUUCUUGUUUUUUUUGACCUAUUACCCUC
This 773-nucleotide ribosomal RNA is filed under the name Gadus morhua (Atlantic cod). Its description in RNAcentral is "partial 16S ribosomal RNA". The record is from RNAcentral. Lineage: Eukaryota; Metazoa; Chordata; Actinopteri; Gadiformes; Gadidae.